AACAUAAACUCUCCCAUUCACUCUCUCAUUUCCGUUCAAGCUAAAGAACAAAGGGGGAAAGUACAGAAAAACCCUAAGGAGAAAAAAUUCAAGAGAAAUUCAUUGGAUUUUCGAAAAAACGAAGCGAUCGGAGGUAAGAUUUUGCGAUUUAGCUUAAGAUCUACCUUACCCAUCUUUCUUUUUCAUUUUCUAUGGUUGAAACUCAAGUUUUUAUGAUGGAAGCAUGCUGGCCGAAUCAAGGGGGGAAGGUUUUGAUGAUGGUUUUUGAUAGAUUUUAGGCUAUUUAAGUGUUUUUAGUGUUUUGUGAUAUUCGGUAUGACAAGUAAGAAAACAACAUGUUGUUCUUCAUCAAACCCUAAUUGGCUGAAUUCUAUAAGGAAUAUUUUGAAGAUGAAUUUUGUCAUAUUUCAUGUUAUCUAGCUCGUAUUUGAUGAUUCGUGAUGUCGGAUAUCGAAAACGAUUUUCAAAAAGUAUAGUUCCUUUAUUAAACGACUUGAACAAUAAUGAGAAAAUUAUAGUAAAUGGACUUAGAAUUGAUUUCUAAUGAGGUAUACGAACUUAUUGGAUUACCGAAAGUGCAAUGAAUCUAUUUGGAAUUGAAUUGGAUGUUUUGGCUAAUUAAACAGUGUAUAGUGUGAGUUAGGUCGAAUACCAUUUCAGUCCAACAAUAAUUGAACCUACGUAGAACACCAUCUUUAAGUGAUUAUUCGAACAUUUCUCAUUCAAUUUCAUACAUUCAUAAAGAGCCUGAAAUAGUUUUAUAACAGUUUGGCACAAAUAUAUUGAAUUACUUGUUAUGUAUUAUGUAUAGGUGGUGAGCCCUCUGGUAAGGGUAAGGAUAUCGUACUUGAGGACCAGGAGUAGGAGUACUCCUGUUAUUAUGAGUAAACAGAUGAUCAUCUUAACUAUCUAAAGUUGUUUCUACUCGUUUUUAUGUUUUAAAGAAUAAUGAUUUUAAAUGGUAAAUUAUUAUGUUUUAAAAUUGAAGUGUUGGUUAAACGAAAUGAGAUUUAUAACUUGUUUUGAAAUUGAAUACUAGUUUUGGAAAUUGAGUAAGUGGAGACUGUAUACUCGUGUUUGAUAUAUGGUUUGAAUUGAUGGCUUAUGACAAUGUGAUGGCAUGAAUGGCUGGAUUUGUGUUUGUGUGGAAUAUAUGAACUGUUUUGUUUUACCUUGACAGGUUGGGUAAUAUCAUACUAGCCAUGUCAUGCUGUUGAAAUUUUUAUUUAUUUGGUGGGGUAAGUGAUUAGCUUACUGCAGUAGGUGGGUUUCUGUGAACUUGCCUAUUAGAGGGGCACGAUAAACCCCAUUGUCUUUUACCUUAGUCUGAAAGGCGCGGAGGGUAUCUCCUAAGGUAGUUUAGAGUUUACUUCACGUCGAACCACCACGUAAGGGUGAACUCAGCCAACGCCAAGGAACGGCUACGUUUUUAAACGUAAAAACAUAUUUUAUGUGUAUAUGUUAAUUUAACAGCCUUGGCGGACUCUGUUGGAUGCCUAGCGUAAAGUGUCACCGAGUACAAGUUUUGGCACAAGCCAAGUUUUAAGAGAGUCAUAAGCCUUGCUAAUUAUUUUUGAUGAAAUGUAAUUGUUUUAUAUGGUUGAAAUGAGUUUUAAUGUUAUGAAUCAUAUUAUGAAGAAAUGUUUUAAUUGUCUCCAUUUACUAGGCUUUAGAUGUUAUAGAUGAACUUUGCUUACUCACUGGGUUUAUAAAAACCCAACCCCUUUUUUUCACCCAUUUCAAGUUCAGAGCAGUCUGUAGACAGUCGAUUUUGUUGGGGGUUUGCUUUCAGAUAUACACCAUUAGAAAUCGUAGGUCUACAGUCCUGUUUAUUUUUUUUAUUUCGGGGCUCACAUGUCAUUGUAAAAUAUUUUUGUAUACCCUGGCGUUGUGUGCUAUUAUGUAUAUGAAUUUAUUUUGUUAUUACGCUACAGUAAUUGUUUAUGUAGAAUUUUAUAAAUAUUGUUUUAUAUGAAAAUGGAAUAUUUUAUAUAAUAUUUUUAUUUAGUUCUAUUAGUUAUAAAUUCACUUUAAAUGGAUGAUUUAGAUACCUGAAUUUAUUUUUAGAUAUGAAAUGUAUAUUUUUUAUUUAUAUAUUAUAUUUUUAGCAAGUUUCAAAAUUUUUAGAUAAAAUGAUCAAAAUACCCCUGUACGGUAGAAAUUACUUUUUGAUUGUCUUUGAUUUGAAAAUAGUCUAUAUUCCUUUAAAACACGAUAUUUAGUAACUGUUGCUCACAAGGGAGGUAGAAAACUGAUGCUAGGGCCUUGCGAGGUUUCAGUUGACAUUCCAAAUAAGGUAUGUCUAUUGAGACAUUGCGGCAAUUGUCAUGAGCUCGAAGAGAAUACUAGGUCGUGACAAUAUUAACCUCUAAAACCAUAGUCACAAACUUGUUGUUCACACCUUGUGUCUUUUUUUUUUCAAAAGUUUACAUUCCGCCUUGAAGUGUCCAAGUUUGUUACAAUGGAAACAUAGCCCUUUUUGUUCCUUUUGAUUUUAUGACUUUUGUCAUUCAUUCCAAUGGAAUGAUCUCUUUUGUUGCACGAGACCAGCUUGUUUGAUGAUUUGUAUUCCAUCACAUGGACCUUCAAAGUCUCAAGAUUCUUUCCAUUAGAAUCCUUUUCUUUUUCAUUUUGCUUGACUUCUUGUUUUCAAUAAUCUUCUUCUAUUUGAAGAUGAUUUCCAAGGUCCUCAAGAGACAUUUCCUCUUUUUUAUGUCUCUCCACGAAAGGGAAGCUUAUCAAUUAUAGAAGAUAUCACAAUAGCUUCAACCAUUUUAAGUUCAUAUUGCUUAAAGCUGUUUAGAAUGUGUUCACGCUGAUGUAAUUGCUCCAUAAUAGGACAAUUAUCAACCAUUUUGCAGUUAUUGAAACGACUAACUAGAAAUUUCUCGUUACUUGCAUCUUCGGCCAUGUAUCUUCCUUCCAAUUUGUCCCAAAGUUGUUUUCACUCGUUUCAUUCUGGUACGCGUCAAACAAUGCAUCUGACAUUCCAUUAAGAAUGUGUCCCAUGCAUAUGUAGUUAUUAGUAUCCCAUUUUUGCCUCAAACGAGUUUGCUUCACGGAUUCUUCAUCAUCUUUUUCAUCCACCAUUUGGUGUAUCUAAAACAUAAGCGACCUUGAGAGUGGUAAGGAGGAAACACAUCUUUUUCUACCAUCAAAUAAAGUUUUCUCCUUCAAAGCAGUCUAACUUGAUAAUGUUGGUAGCCAUCUUUUUAAGUGAAGCCAUUUUAAAUUCCAAUAACAUGAAAAAUAUGUUUUAAAAUUGUCGAUGCAAAUGGGUUUAGAUGGAAUUCAAAGAAUUGGCAAAAUUGACUUCAAGGUGAGCUUUUCAAUAAACGUUAUCUUUAACACUUAUUUUGCCCCUACCACUCGGUAAGCAAAGGGGAAUAAUGUAACUAACCUUAAGGAUACAUUGAAGCCAACGUCUAACUUUGUCUUGCACUUUAUAAGAGUAAACUCUUAGAUACACCCAAGGGCUUACAAAGUUGUUCAGUCUUAAAGCUUACUUUUUACAGUAAGUAGAUUAUAAGGAAUUUGGAUGCUUUUUGUAAUUGAUGGAAAUUUAAGUGUUUAUGUUAAAUUUUAGAGCAUAACGCUUUUCUUGCUUUUAAUUUUUCUACUCUUGUUUUGUUUUUGCUUUCAUGUAUUAAAAUGGUUGGCAACGAGUCCUUUAUGUAGGCUUGCAAAUGUCUUUUCUUAAGGACAUAACCCUUCCCUCAAGGCACCUCUUUGUCUGAAAGACAUUUUCGCAUUUGCAAGACACAACCCUUGGAUAAAUAGAGGUUUCAAUAAUUACCUUUUGAAAUUACAACCAUUCACUUGUAAGACAUGAUAUGAAAAGAUAAUUUUUUAUUUGAAAAGACAUUUUUAUUUUGAAAAUACAACAACAUAAAUUUAUAUCAAAUCGGUUGAUGAUGUAACCAAUUGUGGUGUAUGUGCUAUAAGGGCAAAGAUCAAUAAGUUCAAAGAUUCAGAUUUUUAGUGUGUGAAAUGGAUGGCCAAGUCAAUUACGUGGAACAACUGCUCUUGAUAGCUCAUAGUCAGAUUCACCAUGUUAUUGGCCAUUAGUCAUUACACCACAUUAUCAACUUUGGAGCCAAGGUCAAAAUUAUGUAUGGCAAAAUACCUCGAUAAUUUGGAAAAGAAUCACUCUAUUAAGUAAAUAUCUUUAUAGAUUCAUUUCAAAUUGAUUGCACCUUCCCUUGUGGUGCAUUUUGGUUAAACUAUCCCAUCUUAUAAAUUGACACUAGUGAUUUCAGAAGCCUCAACAUCAUCUGGAACAGCAACAGCAAAUAGCCUAAGACAACAAGGAAAAAGCUUCUUUCAGC
This 4328-nucleotide long non-coding RNA is filed under the name Theobroma cacao (cacao). Its description in RNAcentral is "long non-coding RNA (TCAC_LNC001454)". Lineage: Eukaryota; Viridiplantae; Streptophyta; Magnoliopsida; Malvales; Malvaceae. The record is from RNAcentral.